GAUGAAGAACGUAGCGAAAUGCGAUAAGUAAUGUGAAUUGCAGAAUUCAGUGAAUCAUCGAAUCUUUGAACGCGCAUUGCGACCCCUGGUAUUCCGGGGGGCAUGCCUGUUCGAGCGUCAUUUCACCACUCAAGCCUCGCUUGGUAUUGGGCAACGCGGUCCGCCGCGUGCCUCAAAUCGACCGGCUGGGUCUUCUGUCCCCUAAGCGUUGUGGAAACUAUUCGCUAAAGGGUGUUCGGGAGGCUACGCCGUAAAACAACCCCAUUUCUAAGGUUGACCUCGGAUCAGGUAGGGAUACCCGCUGAACUUAAGCAUAUCAAUAAGCGGAGGA
RNAcentral lists this unclassified non-coding RNA (331 nucleotides) under soil metagenome. RNAcentral describes it as "partial contains 5.8S ribosomal RNA, internal transcribed spacer 2, and large subunit ribosomal RNA". The stretch from base 1 to 120 matches the Rfam family "5.8S ribosomal RNA", at positions 35 to 154 of the family's 154-position model. The record is from RNAcentral.